CGAGUGGCGGACGGGUGAGUAACACGUAGGUAACCUGCCCAGAAGCGGGGGACAACAUUUGGAAACAGAUGCUAAUACCGCAUAACAGCGUUGUUCGCAUGAACAACGCUUAAAAGAUGGCUUCUCGCUAUCACUUCUGGAUGGACCUGCGGUGCAUUAGCUUGUUGGUGGGGUAACGGCCUACCAAGGCGAUGAUGCAUAGCCGAGUUGAGAGACUGAUCGGCCACAAUGGGACUGAGACACGGCCCAUACUCCUACGGGAGGCAGCAGUAGGGAAUCUUCCACAAUGGGCGCAAGCCUGAUGGAGCAACACCGCGUGAGUGAAGAAGGGUUUCGGCUCGUAAAGCUCUGUUGUUAAAGAAGAACACGUAUGAGAGUAACUGUUCAUACGUUGACGGUAUUUAACCAGAAAGUCACGGCUAACUACGUGCCAGCAGCCGCGGUAAUACGUAGGUGGCAAGCGUUAUCCGGAUUUAUUGGGCGUAAAGAGAGUGCAGGCGGUUUUCUAAGUCUGAUGUGAAAGCCUUCGGCUUAACCGGAGAAGUGCAUCGGAAACUGGAUAACUUGAGUGCAGAAGAGGGUAGUGGAACUCCAUGUGUAGCGGUGGAAUGCGUAGAUAUAUGGAAGAACACCAGUGGCGAAGGCGGCUACCUGGUCUGCAACUG
This 665-nucleotide ribosomal RNA is filed under the name uncultured bacterium. RNAcentral describes it as "bacterial SSU rRNA". It matches the Rfam family "Bacterial small subunit ribosomal RNA", at positions 92 to 742 of the family's 1533-position model. The record is from RNAcentral.